ACGCACGCUGGCGGCGUGCUUCACACAUGCCAGUCGAACGGAAAGGCCCUGCUUUUGUGGGGUGCUCGAGUGGCGAACGGGUGAGUAACACGUGAGUAACCUGCCCUUGACUUUGGGAUAACUUCAGGAAACUGGGGCUAAUACCGGAUAGGAGCUCCUGCUGCAUGGUGGGGGUUGGAAAGUUUCGGCGGUUGGGGAUGGACUCGCGGCUUAUCAGCUUGUUGGUGGGGUAGUGGCUUACCAAGGCUUUGACGGGUAGCCGGCCUGAGAGGGUGACCGGCCACAUUGGGACUGAGAUACGGCCCAGACUCCUACGGGAGGCAGCAGUGGGGAAUAUUGCACAAUGGGCGGAAGCCGGAUGCAGCAACGCCGCGUGCGGGAUGACGGCCUUCGGGUUGUAAACCGCUUUCGCCUGUGACGAAGCGUGAGUGACGGUAAUGGGUAAAGAAACACCGGCUAACUACGU
This 466-nucleotide ribosomal RNA is filed under the name uncultured bacterium. Its description in RNAcentral is "partial 16S ribosomal RNA". It matches the Rfam family "Bacterial small subunit ribosomal RNA", at positions 29 to 506 of the family's 1533-position model. The record is from RNAcentral.